AAUAGAUACCCGGGUAGUCCACGCCGUAAACGAUGAGUGCUAAGUGUUAGAGGGUUUCCGCCCUUUAGUGCUGAAGUUAACGCAUUAAGCACUCCGCCUGGGGAGUACGGCCGCAAGGCUGAAACUCAAAGGAAUUGACGGGGGCCCGCACAAGCGGUGGAGCAUGUGGUUUAAUUCGAAGCAACGCGAAGAACCUUACCAGGUCUUGACAUCCUCUGACAACCCUAGAGAUAGGGCUUCUCCUUCGGGAGCAGAGUGACAGGUGGUGCAUGGUUGUCGUCAGCUCGUGUCGUGAGAUGUUGGGUUAAGUCCCGCAACGAGCGCAACCCUUGAUCUUAGUUGCCAUCAUUUAGUUGGGCACUCUAAGGUGACUGCCGGUGACAAACCGGAGGAAGGUGGGGAUGACGUCAAAUCAUCAUGCCCCUUAUGACCUGGGCUACACACGUGCUACAAUGGACGGUACAAAGAGCUGCAAGACCGCGAGGUGGAGCUAAUCUCAUAAAACCGUUCUCAGUUCAGA
This 520-nucleotide ribosomal RNA is filed under the name uncultured bacterium. RNAcentral's name for it is "bacterial SSU rRNA". It matches the Rfam family "Bacterial small subunit ribosomal RNA", at positions 777 to 1297 of the family's 1533-position model. The record is from RNAcentral.